This 402-nucleotide ribosomal RNA is filed under the name uncultured bacterium. RNAcentral describes it as "bacterial SSU rRNA". It matches the Rfam family "Bacterial small subunit ribosomal RNA", at positions 355 to 774 of the family's 1533-position model. The record is from RNAcentral.
UGGGGAAUCUUGCGCAAUGGGCGAAAGCCUGACGCAGCCAUGCCGCGUGAAUGAUGAAGGUCUUAGGAUUGUAAAAUUCUUUCACCGGGGACGAUAAUGACGGUACCCGGAGAAGAAGCCCCGGCUAACUUCGUGCCAGCAGCCGCGGUAAUACGGAGGGUGCAAGCGUUAAUCGGAAUUACUGGGCGUAAAGCGCACGCAGGCGGUCUGUUAAGUCAGAUGUGAAAUCCCCGGGCUCAACCUGGGAACUGCAUUUGAAACUGGCAGGCUUGAGUGUGAGAGAGGUAUGUGGAACUCCGAGUGUAGAGGUGAAAUUCGUAGAUAUUCGGAAGAACACCAGUGGCGAAGGCGACAUACUGGCUCAUUACUGACGCUGAGGCUCGAAAGCGUGGGGAGCAAACA